This 266-nucleotide unclassified non-coding RNA is filed under the name Hevea brasiliensis (rubber tree). The record is from RNAcentral. Lineage: Eukaryota; Viridiplantae; Streptophyta; Magnoliopsida; Malpighiales; Euphorbiaceae.
AGGAAGUACUUAACAACUUUGAUUUUCAAGAAUUAACUUUAUAUCAAAAAUGCAAACAAGAUCACAAGUUCCAUUUUCAAUGAAAGAUCUUUUAUGAAUUUGACAAUUAACGGGUCGGCAACAAAUUUAAGCAAUCAUGCAUGAGCCUUUCAAGACUACUUAUUUAUUUGUGCAAAUGUUCUUUUCUACAAUUUAUAAUACUUAAGCAAGAUUUGUCUGUUCACAUAUAUUUCCAACACAUAAGAAUUUGCAAAUUUUAGACAAAU